GACGAACGCUGGCGGCGCGCUUAACACAUGCAAGUCGAACGGAAAGGCCUGCUUUCCCUUGUGGAUUGCGGGUACUCGAGUGGCGAACGGGUGAGUAACACGUGAGUGAUCUGCCCCCAACUUGGGUAUAAGCCUGGGAAACUGGGUCUAAUUCCCGAUAGGACUGCAGGGUGGUGCCUGUGGUGGAAAACGAUUUUCUAGUGGUUGGGGAUGAGCUCGCGGCCUAUCAGCUUGUUGGUGGGGUAAUGGCCUACCAAGGCGGCGACGGGUAGCCGGCCUGGGAGGGUGGACGGCCACAUUGGGACUGAGGUACGGCCCAGAAUCCUACGGGAGGCAGCAGUGGGGAAUAUUGCACAAGGGGCGGAAGCCUGAUGCAGCGACGCCGGGUGGGGGAUGACGGCCUUCGGGUUGUAAACUCCUUUCGACCGCGAGGAAGCCACCUGGUUGGAAGGGUGGUGACGGUAGUGGUAGAGGAAGCACCGGCUAACUACGUG
RNAcentral lists this ribosomal RNA (494 nucleotides) under uncultured bacterium. RNAcentral's name for it is "partial 16S ribosomal RNA". It matches the Rfam family "Bacterial small subunit ribosomal RNA", at positions 28 to 507 of the family's 1533-position model. The record is from RNAcentral.